Long non-coding RNA from Sitophilus oryzae (rice weevil), 533 nucleotides. RefSeq lists it as uncharacterized. The transcript has 2 exons. NCBI's taxonomy places the organism in Eukaryota, Metazoa, Arthropoda, Insecta, Coleoptera, Curculionidae. The record is from RefSeq and is a predicted model, not a curated record.
AGUCUAAAAGGAGGAGGCGAAUCGAACGCAAAAAUUAUGGGCCCAGUUUUUGAGAUCUAAAUGAAGUUCGAAAAUCGCCGUUAGGGGCGCUUGUGAUGAUUGGGAUACUAGAAAUACACAGCUUCUUAUGGCAAGAAUAACUAUUUUGUUAUAAAUUAUAGAGCCAAGUUAAUAUUUGGGCAUAUUUUUACCAGAGUUAGCUUUUAGAAACGUGGUUUUUCUAAUUGAGCAAUGUGCGUGGCUAAAAUUGUGAAUACAAAACCUUAAAUUUGAGUUUGAAAAUGCAUACACGACCGAAGAAACAUAUAAGCUGCUAAAAUAAAUCUUCCCUAGAACUGUUGUACAAAAAAGAUAGAAGUUCCAGCAACAAAUUUAUCACCAGUUCAACCUUUGAUUUGAUGUAAACAGUAAUUGUUUCUUGAUGAGAAAUGCGAAUGAAAUAGUUUAUGGUGUGAUUGUGUUAGUGUUUUAUUAAUAGUUUUGUUGAUGCAGUUUAAAGGUUCAUAGUUUUUCAUUAAAACAUUUGAAAUUGA